GAGAGGGCAGAGAACCUCCCCCAGCACUCGGCGUGCGUCCGUAGUGAAGGAGUGUCACCUGAGCCCCCGCUGUUGCUCAAUCGACUUCCCAAGAACAGAGAGAAAAGGGAACUUCCAGGGCGGCCCAGGCCUCCGGGGGUUCCCACCCCAUUUUUAGCUGAAAGCACUGAGGCAGAGCUCCCCCUACCCAGGCUCCAUUGCCUGGCAUAAAAAUAACCACCAUGGUUACUGAUCAUCUGGGAGCUAUCCAGGAACGCGACAGGGAGCCGGAUGGGCCACACCAGCCAUAGGCACCACAUGGAGAACCCGGCACUUCAGCCUCCAUACAGAGCCCCUUCGUCUUCCCCUUGAUCCCCUGCUGCAAACACAUUCUCUCCAAUGCCACCUCCGUGACCCUGGGCUGCCUGGCCACGGGCUACUUCCCGGAGCCGGUGAUGGUGACCUGGGACGCAGGUUCCCUCAACAGGAGCACUAUGACCUUACCAGCCACCACCUUCACGCCCUCCGGUCACUAUGCCACCAUCAGCUUGCUGACCGUCUCGGGUGCGUCGGCCAAGCAGAUGUUCACCUGCCGUGUGGUGCACACUCCAUCGUCCGCAGACAAAGAGGUCAACAAAACCUUUGGCGUCUGCUCCAGGGACUUCACCCCACCAACCGUGAAGAUCUUACAGUCAUCCUGUGAUGGCGGUGGGCACUUUCCCCCGACCGUCCAGCUCCUGUGCCUCAUCUCCGGGUACACCCCAGGGGCCAUCAACGUCACCUGGCUGGAGAACGGGCAGGUCAUGGAAGUGAACUCGCCCACCCCUCCUGCCACGCAGGAGGGUGAGCUGGCCUCCACACAAAGUGAGCUCACCCUCGCCCAGAAGCACUGGCUGUCGGACCGCACUUACACCUGCCAGGUCACCUAUCAAGGUGAAACCUUUGAGGACAGCACCAAGAAGUGUGCGGAUUCCAACCCGAGAGGGGUCAGUGCCUACCUAAGCCGGCCCAGCCCGUUCGACCUGUUCAUCAGCAAGUCGCCCACGAUCACCUGUCUGGUAGUGGACCUGGCACCCAGCAAGGGGACUGUGAAUCUGACCUGGUCCCGGGCCAGUGGGAAGCCCGUGCCCCAGGUCACCCCAAGGGAGCAGAAGCAGCACAAUGGCACGUUAACUGUCACGUCCGUCCUGCCGGUGGUCACCCAAGACUGGAUUGAGGGGGAGACCUACCAGUGCAGGGUGACCCACCCCCACCUCCCCAGGGCCCUCGUGCGGUCCACGACCAAGACCAGCGGCCCGCGUGCUGCCCCGGAAGUCUAUGUGUUUGCAACGCCAGAGAAGCUGGAGAGCCGGGACAAGCGCACCCUCGGCUGCCUGAUCCAGAACUUCAUGCCUGAGGACAUAUCGGUGCAGUGGCUGCACAACGAGGUGCAGCUCCCGGACGCCAGGCACAGCAUGACGCAGCCCCGCAAGACCAAGGGCUCCGGCUUCUUCGUCUUCAGCCGCCUGGAGGUGACCAAGACCGAAUGGGAGCAGAAAGACGAGUUCAUCUGCCGUGCAGUCCAUGAGGCAGUGAGCCCCUCAUGGAUCGUCCAGAAAGCGGUGUCUGUAAAUCCCGGGUUGGCUGGCGGCUCUGCGCAGUCGCAGAGGGCCCCGGAUAGGGUACUCUGCCACUCCGAACAGCAGCAAGGGCUGCCGAGAGCAGCAAGGGGCUCUGUCCCCGACCACCGCGGCCACUGUGGAGCCGGGAGGGCUGACUGGCCAGGUCUCCCAGAGCUGGACGUGUGCGUGGACGAGGCUGAGAGUGAGACACUGUGGACGUGGACUGGCCUCUGCAUCUUCGCCACACUCUUCCUGCUCAGUGUGAGCUACAGCGCUGCCAUCACACUCCUCACGGUGCAGCGGUUCCUCUCAGCCACGCGGCAGGGGAGGCCCCAGACCUCCCUCGACUACACCAACAUCCUCCAGCCCCACGCCUAGGCCGCGGGCCACUCGCGCUCCACCAGGCCUAGCUGCUUCUCUGCCGGCACCUGAGCCUCCCUCGGGCUGUGCCCUGCCCUGGGUGGGAAAAGGGAAGAAGACAAGAAAAGGGGGCGCAAGGUCGCUACUGUGGGCUGAUGGCCAGUGAAUCUGAGCCCAGAGGGGCCCGCUCAGCCGCAAGGUUAAAGGUGCCGACAGAACCACCAGUCGCAGCCCCCACCCCAAAGCAGUGUCCGUCCCUUCAACGGAGUCAUCGAGGAGGGGGUGGCUGCUGGCCGUUGUGAGCUCAUCCCAGGCCCCUGGGUCUCAGGGUCACUCCCA
Molecule: non-coding RNA, 2279 nt
Organism: Piliocolobus tephrosceles (Ugandan red Colobus)
Lineage: Eukaryota; Metazoa; Chordata; Mammalia; Primates; Cercopithecidae
Source: the annotation of a RefSeq genome assembly